This is a long non-coding RNA of Anopheles gambiae (African malaria mosquito), 632 nucleotides long. RefSeq lists it as uncharacterized. The record is from RefSeq and is a predicted model, not a curated record. NCBI's taxonomy places the organism in Eukaryota, Metazoa, Arthropoda, Insecta, Diptera, Culicidae. The transcript is spliced from 3 exons.
AAACACGGAUGUUUGUUUUAAUUUAAACCGCUUUGAAAAUAGCAAUAUAUAUGAUACAAUUAGAACUCGCUAAUUGCAUUUAUAUCAUAUGUCUACAAAAAAAGAUAGAUUUUGUUUAUUAGAAAGAAAUUUUGUAACACGACUAAUGUCUGCGUAUUUUGUCAUGUUUGUUAUUUUAUACAAACUGGAUAAACUGACUUUUUCUCAUAUUUAUGUGAACAACUCGGAUUUUUUGUAUUCAAUUGAAAAAGCAGACUUGCAAUUGGCGAGGUUUGAAUGUAUUUCACUUCGUCACAUGCCAGCGCGCAUAUCUGUCAAGUCAGAAACGUAAACAAACACGGACAACCGCCCGUAAAGAUUGUAAUGCAGAAUAAUCGUAAAAUUUUAUGUGAAAACUCGGGAAAAGGAAAAACAUCAUUUCAUCCCGAAAUUUGGCAACAUUCGUCCGAGUAUGAUCGAGCAGCUGUGUGUGUGUGUGUAUGCCGACGAAAUACGACGCCGUUUCUACAACAAUCACUAAAGCCGGCUGUGAUCGUGAUCGGCACAUUCUCAACUGGACCAACACACCGGUCGUUGUGUAUCUUCAAGCAAACCAACGUUGCCAUACACCACAAAAUAGCAUGGAAAGGAAA